Molecule: long non-coding RNA, 821 nt
Filed under: Oryctolagus cuniculus (rabbit)
Lineage: Eukaryota; Metazoa; Chordata; Mammalia; Lagomorpha; Leporidae
Description: lncRNA (ENSOCUG00000038214.1)
Source: RNAcentral
AUGGCCCGUAAGCCCAGCCCCAGCCGCGGCUACGCUGCCCACCCGGCACCACUGCCCCGGCUCGCCCCAUCACCCGCAGCGGCCGCUCCUCGGGGGUGCAGCCCCGGAGCCCACUUGGCACCGCACGCGGGCUCAGGAAGGUGCCCGGGCCAGCCCCUCCCCCCACCCUCUCCAGGCUCUUGGCCCUGGGAGAAAUUAGCAUGUGAAUGCGGCUCCUUCCCGGAGGAGCCUCGGCUGGGGCGGGGGCGGGGGCGUGGGAGCAAGGGGGCCUCCCACCCGCCUGGGCCUCCAGGGUCCGACGAGCCCCGGCCGCGGCGAGUGGGAGAGGCCCAGCACCCCCGAGGCUGGAGGUCACUGCCCAGCCCCGCGUGGCCCCGGGGGCGGCGGAAGUACGAGCGGAGGGCUCUGUGCGGCCUCUGCGGAAGUGAGUAACCCACCCUGCAGGUCGGAGCCGGUGUGUGAGCUGCGGAGCGCGGGAGCGAAAGGCCCUCCCUGGGAGGGAGGGGGCAGCGGCGGGGGCUUGCUCCAGGUUUGCCUCCCCCAACUGGGGGGUGGGGGUGGGCGGGAACUGUCGGCCUCCUGUGGCCCCCACAGCAGCCUAGAGCUCGCUUUGCUGGUCUGGCCGGGGCAGAGGCUGGGAAAGGAGACCCCUGCCCCCUCCCUGGCCUUAGGGUGUCCCGGGUCCCUGAGCCAAUGAGAAGAGGAGACCGGGUGGGGCCUGUCCCUCCCAGGUAAAGGGCAGGGCUCGGGGACUCAGAUGCAGCUGUGCCCUGUGGCCCUGUGGCGGGGAACCACGCUGUGCGCGGACGUGACCCCGUCUG